GAGAGACCUCACUCAUUAGCAUUCCACAGCCAUGGACUAAACGCUGACAACUAACAGAGAUAUCCAGCUCUACACCACUGCAUGCAUUCUCCCCCUUUGUCUUCUUCCCCUUGGCCCUUCAUUUUCAGCGGACAGAUCUCUCGUCACAGCCAACACAUUUUUAUUUAUGCCUUCUCUCUCUUUUUGCACGAAUGGAGCCCGCGUGCACAAGAGAGAAAACCCUUCCAGUAAAGCAGAAGGAGAGAAAAAGGGGGGAGUGAUGUUGUAAAAGCUGUGCAGAAGUGACAGCGCUAAGCACACUGGCUCUGCUGGGGAGAGAUACAAUACUGUGUGACUUGACAAAACAGACGUAGGAGAUGGUUUCAAUGUCAACCUUAACUGCUAUUAUUUAGAUAUUUGGAGGAUUAAAAACUGGAGCCUGUAUGCUUCAUUGCGAAGCUUCUGGGCUCGGGACAUAGCCCAGAAAUAUAUUGAUUAAAGCACACAGGCUUAUUUAAAACACUGAACGAGGAAGAAGAGGCUGGAAUCAAGCUUGGUCAAAGGCGGAUGGAUGAAGACUCACGGCAGAAAAAAAAAAAGCGAUCAAUGCCGCAGCGCUCUCUCAUUCACCCUGAACUGGCGAUGAACUCCUACGGAACGCCGCCAGGCUCUCCACCCUAUUCCAUCGCAGUCCGGGGUCAGCAGGGGGGCGUCUCUGUGCCAAUAUGCAGAUGAGCCUGUGCCCCUCCAAUGACUCUGAUGUGAAGCUCCACCCCCUCUAUAUGGUAGAGAGCCCCCCCUUCUCUUGACAACACUCCCACACAUAGAGACAUAAACCCGCUCCCUCACUGGCUUAAAUAGGCCUUUAACAGCUUACGUCCACUCUUCCUUUAAUAGCCAAAGUGUGUCCGACCUAAUGGAUGUUGUCAAAGCUGAGAUGUGAGUAAUGAUUUAGAGGAGAAACCCCAAUGACCAGGCUUCACGUGCAACUAAAAGACCCAGGGAAAGAGAGAGAGAGAGAGAGAGAGAGAGAGAGAGAGAGAGAGAGAGUGAGUGAGUGGGAGAGCGAGAAUUACCUCAGCUCUGCCACAAAUCAAAGUAAUAUCUUUAAAAGAUGCGGGGAUCGAUGAGGUGUCAUCUGGCUGUAUCUGGUGUGUUAAGUGAACCCAUAAACAGCCAAUGAGCAAGCUUAAUCCUCACUUUGAGUCCCUUACAGGAAAAGUUUUCUUUAAAGUAACAAGCAGAUUUUUUUAAUGAGCUAUUGAUUUCAUGUAUUGUUUAAACAUGAUAUUACAUUAAAAGGGCUCUAAUGUCUUCAUCAUAUAUUGGGUUUAAUUGAUGCAGCUUUUCAAAAUAAAGUGCCUUGUGUGUUUAUUUGUGCCUGCUUUCUUGCAUUCACUGUAAAUCAAUUAAGUUGCUAAUUCUAACAAGAUCAAUGUAAUUGCAUUAAUUCAAUAAAGUCUAUUGUAA
Labrus mixtus (cuckoo wrasse) is the source of this 1449-nucleotide long non-coding RNA. RefSeq lists it as uncharacterized. NCBI's taxonomy places the organism in Eukaryota, Metazoa, Chordata, Actinopteri, Labriformes, Labridae. The record is from RefSeq and is a predicted model, not a curated record. The transcript has 3 exons.